CUCACAUUAUGGUUUCCUAGUUAA
RNAcentral lists this non-coding RNA (24 nucleotides) under Rattus norvegicus (Norway rat). Lineage: Eukaryota; Metazoa; Chordata; Mammalia; Rodentia; Muridae. The record is from RNAcentral.